UCGGGUGUGAGUAGAGCGGCGCACGGGUGAGUAACACGUGAGUAAUCUGCCCCGAGGUGGGGGAUAACUGCUGGAAACGGCAGCUAAUACCGCAUAUAGCCCCAUGGGCGUAGGUCUUUGGGGGCAAAGAGGGCUUUCGGGCUCUCGCCUCGGGAUGAGCUCGCGGCCCAUUAGCUAGUUGGUGAGGUAAUGGCUCACCAAGGCCAAGAUGGGUAGCUGGUCUGAGAGGAUGAUCAGCCACACUGGGACUGAGACACGGCCCAGACUCCUACGGGAGGCAGCAGUGGGGAAUAUUGCGCAAUGGACGAAAGUCUGACGCAGCAACGCCGCGUGGGUGACGAAGGCCUUUGGGUCGUAAAGCCCUGUCAGGAGGGAAGAACCGUCGGGAUGCUCAUACCAUCCCGGCCUGACGGUACCUCCAAAGGAAGCACCGGCUAACUCCGUGCCAGCAGCCGCGGUAA
This 461-nucleotide ribosomal RNA is filed under the name uncultured bacterium. Its description in RNAcentral is "bacterial SSU rRNA". It matches the Rfam family "Bacterial small subunit ribosomal RNA", at positions 80 to 523 of the family's 1533-position model. The record is from RNAcentral.